GCUCCCGGGGCGGGGGACUCAGCACACCUGGUCGGUGCAGCGCGCUAUUAAACGCCAUCCACAGGUACUGAAAGGCCGAGGGCUACGCUCUCCAUCUUGCCUCAGGAACACUGUCCAUACCCUUGAGCAAGGGGUUCAGUCUGAGCUCUGGCCUCCAACGUCGGCUGCCAUCCUCACCGUCUUCGCACACUGCUGCCAGCAGGGUGGCUCAGCUAUGCUCCCCACACACAGUCCUCCACACAGCAAGCAUGUCAAACUCAAAGGCUAACACAGGCCAAAUAAACAAGAAAGGACAUUCUAACCUGGCUGGGAGUUGAACGCCCCCAGGACCUGGAAGCCAACCUUUGAAUGCGGUCCAUUCUCAUUCAAGAACUGCCUAUUAACAUGGAAAGAUGAACAACCUUGUUGCCCAAACAAUGCAGUUCCACCCCAACCUGCAUAGCCCCAUGCCUGUAACCCAUACUUCCCCAUGUAAUCCCCCUCCCACCCUAUAUAAGCAGCUGGUUUGUGGUGGGGAACAGAGCAGAUUUCUGUGGUUGACCUGCUGCCGGCAGGAUUGGAAUAAACGCUCAUAUAUAUAUUCAA
Long non-coding RNA from Myotis lucifugus (little brown bat), 585 nucleotides. RefSeq lists it as uncharacterized. The record is from RefSeq and is a predicted model, not a curated record. NCBI's taxonomy places the organism in Eukaryota, Metazoa, Chordata, Mammalia, Chiroptera, Vespertilionidae. The transcript has 3 exons.